UACUGCAGUUAAGUCUCUGUUCAUGACCUGAGUUGGAUCCCGAUGGGCUGGCUUAAGGUGGACUCAGCCUUCCAUCCUUCCGAGCUCUGAAAUGAGUGGUGUUGUGGCUCCCUCCUGCUGCAGCUAUGGAUGUGAGGGCACACACAGGGUGUUGUAUGAGUGAAGAAACAAACCUCUACAUAGGCUUUUACAAUGUACUCAAGGAUUCUACAGCUAGGAGAAGCAAGGAAGGUCUAUUACUAAGAGUUUGCAUCCAUGGUCCUAAGAAGCUGUUGAAUCCUUUUAUGUCCCACUGUGGCUUACACCCUUAUUCCCCCCCUCACCAUCUUGCAUACCUAUCGGCAUGCGACGCCCUUUCUGCUCCACCAAUCCUCUUUUAUGGAGUUAAUUCCUGGGAAAGCAAAAAGAGAAAUGAAAGUAAAUCCAGCAAAUAUAUUUCAGGGACUGAAAGUGA
Non-coding RNA from Pogona vitticeps (central bearded dragon), 454 nucleotides. NCBI's taxonomy places the organism in Eukaryota, Metazoa, Chordata, Lepidosauria, Squamata, Agamidae. The record is from RefSeq and is a predicted model, not a curated record.